UUUUUGAACAUUUUUGUAGACGCGCUGGGCUGAGGUUUCCAUGCCUCUUCCACGCGGUCUACACCGUGUGUUCUAAAAGCGAUAAAGCCCCUUUAAAGACUUUGUGUAAUGGUGUUGGAGCCUACCCAAACACGCCCUGCAGAUGCAAUCUCUCCGGCACCAUGUGAAGAUGCUAACAAACGGCACCGAUUCAUGCUCUAAACAUAAACCCUAACCUUCACAUUGCUGCAUCUAUGUUUGGAUAACGGAUAUGGAUCAAAAUAAGACUAAUGAAUGUGCUGAGGAUACGUGAGAUCUUGGAUGAAAUCCUUGUGGAGGCAAAGGACCAAGCGGGAGAAUGAUAACUACAUUUGAAGAGGCAACAUCUUCAACGGUAUGUGUGAUUUCCUUUUUGAUAUUUACCAAAACGUUGAACCAUCCAAGGAAUAUUAUUGUGUUGACUUAGUAAAAGGUUAGUAAGAAUUUUCACUGGUUCACUAAACCUAGUGGGUUAGUAGGAAAUUGAAGGUUGGUGGAUUCAUCUAUUGACCUUGAGAAAGAGUUUGAUGCUGAUCUAAUGAAGGUUUUCCACUUAGGUCAAAGUACUACUUUUGGAAAGUGAUUUCAGUACACGCCUACACGAUCGGUUAUUUGAUUAUCACUAGGAAGUUCCCUAAUAUAUAGCAUAUAUAAUAUAU
Molecule: long non-coding RNA, 677 nt
Filed under: Helianthus annuus (common sunflower)
Lineage: Eukaryota; Viridiplantae; Streptophyta; Magnoliopsida; Asterales; Asteraceae
Description: sRNA HanXRQr2_Chr10g0434251
Source: RNAcentral